AGUAACCUGCCUUGGAGUGGGGAAUAACAGCUGGAAACAGCUGCUAAUACCGCAUAAUGCAGUUGGGUCGCAUGGCUCUGACUGCCAAAGAUUUAUCGCUCUGAGAUGGACUCGCGUCUGAUUAGCUAGUUGGUGGGGCAACGGCCCACCAAGGCGACGAUCAGUAGCCGGCCUGAGAGGGUGGACGGCCACAUUGGGACUGAGACACGGCCCAAACUCCUACGGGAGGCAGCAG
This 235-nucleotide ribosomal RNA is filed under the name uncultured bacterium. Its description in RNAcentral is "partial 16S ribosomal RNA". It matches the Rfam family "Bacterial small subunit ribosomal RNA", at positions 120 to 354 of the family's 1533-position model. The record is from RNAcentral.